CGAAAGAUAUGGCUCAAGAUUUCGCUGAACAAAAACAAUUUCCUGAACCUGUAGAUGAUAUUAAUGGGAAAACUGAGUUCACAGAUCCACCUGUUGGGUAUGAAAAACCACUUGAGGAGGAGCCUGCUCCAUCACAGCCUCUUUUGGAGGAAAGUGCUCCAGAAAAAACUGCUAUUGCUGUUGAUGUCUUACCUGAAUCACAGUGUGAAGGAGAAGAUGAAUGGCAAUCUGUUCAAAGACCAAGAUCAGGUCGCUCAUACGGACGACGACUAAGGCAGCGGAAAGCGGCUAUGAGCAAGGUUUACCCUUAUGAGAAGAAAGAUGUGAACUCUGAACCAGAAAUAUUAAGAACAGGGAAUACUUAUCAAAGUAGUAAGCAUCAGAUGCUAAAGAAACGAAUUUUGUCUCCCGGAAGUUAUGUUGAGCAGCACUCAGCAAAAAGUCCCUUUCAGGGUAACAAAUUUGGUCGGAGAACUGUGCAAGCUGUAAGAUACAGAGUGAAGUCUGUUCCAUCCACCAAGGAUUUGACAUUUGAGAAAUUGAACAUUGGCGAAGAAGAAGCUUUAGAAUCCAGACCUGUUUCUAUGGAAAGAGAAGUGAGCCUAUCAAUGAAAAGCUCAAUAAUUGGCCUCGUAAAAUCACCCUCGUACAAAGAAGUAGCACUGACGCCACCAGGUACUAUUUCAAUGCUGCAAGUCCGGGCAUCGGAGGAUGACUUUCCUGCAAAAGAGGAACUCAUUGUAAGAGAUGAAGAAACCAGUAAAGCAGGAGAUAAGAAAUUUGGCUCAACUGUUGUUAAUCCAGAAAAAACAUAUUCAACUGAUAAGGAUGAGGAUAAUCAAUCCAAGGCAGUACCUCGUAAUGUGGAAAUGACUCAAUCCAGCACUGCUAAGAAUUUUCAAGUUGCACCUAGGAUUUUUGAAGGUAAAGAUCCUUCAUACUCCACUUCACAAGGAGAAAAGGAUUCAAAUGAAAUCCCUUCUCUUCCAUGUGAUAUUGGUACUCGAGAUAUCUCCAAGAAGUUGUCUGCAUCGGCUGCUCCAUUCAAUCCUUCGCCAACUGCGACACAAAUUCCUCCUUUUCCCUUGAGUAUAGUUCUUCCUCCAGGGCCUGGUUCUGUUCCAGCUGUUGGUCUGUGGCCAAUAAAUAUGAAUCUUCAUCAAGGGACGGCUGUUAAUUUCUCAAGCCCAACCAUUUUAAACUCUCUGCAGUAUGUCUACCCUCCGUAUAUUCAUUCACGACCAUUACAAGGUCCAAUUUGGUCUGGCUGCCAGCCAAUGGAGCUCUCUGUCCCAUUACCUGUUAUGGAGCCAAUUGCUGAACCCUUUUUGGAAUCAAAUGAAGUGUCUGAAAGUUUAGUUAGCUGUAGAAGUUCGGAUUUGGAUUUGUCAUAUAAUAUUGAUGUGACGAACCAAACUAAGAGCGAAGCAGAUGUUAGUGAGAACCUGAAUGACGGGUUACAGUCAGAAGCUGUGCAAGAAGUUCCUAAACCAGAUUUACAUGGUGUUCCAUGUCCAGAGUAUUCAAUGGAUGACAAUAAUAAUUCACAUAUAUAUGCUGGAAGCAGUGGUGACAAUUGUGUGCCAGGUAACAUCAAUAUUUUGAUUAACAUCAAUAUUUUGAUUAAGGGAAGAAAAAACCGCAAUCAGACUCUGAGGAUGCCAACAAGUUUACUUAAGCGGCCUUAUAAUUCCCAGUCCUUUAAGAUCAUUUAUAGCAGAGUAAUUAAAGAGACUAAAGCUCACAAGUCCCCCAGCUUUUCUUCAGACAAUGUAAGUACUCUUUGUGCCGCCUGAGAUGUUCACAAGUAUGCAAGAUGACCAGAAAAUAGAGAAUGAUAGAUCUGUUGCUAUACAACUUACACAAUGAAACUAGAUUUCUUGAUGUGGAGCUUCAUGGAAUUUUGACCCUUCUCUUUUACUGUUUUGAGGUGACUUCCUUGGAUCCAAUUUCUUUAAUCAAUUUUUUUUAAAAUUUGUUGCUAGCUGGUUAAACUCCUUAAUGCUAUAAAGGUCAAAGCCUAGUUCAAAUUGCCAUCUUCGUCAAUAAAGUUGAUGGAUUUAUAUACACUUAUUGCUACGGGUGAUCGCGGUGCGGGCGGUGCGGUUUUUCGCUAAAACCGCGUAUGCGGUUUGGUUGAGAACUCAAACCGCAACCGCACCACGCUAGCAUAAAAACCGCGUAAACCGCACCACAAAAAUGCGGUGUGGUGCGGUGCGGUUUGUGCGGUUUGUAUGCUUAAGAAUAAAUAUUUUUAGUUGAAGUUCGAAAUAAAAUUUAAGUAUACAAUAAUUAAAACCUUUUCUUGUAAUGAAUUUAUACGAUAUUUAUCAUUUCAAAACUAUAACAACUACUAAAUAACACAAACAAAACUGUAAAUAUGAUAUAAAUAUGAGUACUAACUACAAAGAGAAAUGUUAUAAUAAUAUAAUCAUUUCAUACAAAUUUGGUAUAAUAGUAAUGUGAGAUUGAUUAAAUAAUAAUUAACUAUUAUUUGAAGAGAUUUAACAAAUAUAUAUAACAUAAUUAUAAACAAUAUAUAAGUAUAUAAUAUAAUUUUAUUUGACAAUCACUAAUAUAAAUAUAUAUAUAUAUAUAUAUAUAUAUUAUAUAAUAUUGCGGUGCGGUGCGGUUUGAACCGCACUACUAAUAUAUCAAACCGCAAUCCGCAACGCACCGCGCGGUUUGUGAAAAAUUCAAACCGCAACUGCACCACAAAAAUUAAAAACCGCGUUUUGUGGUGCGGUUUGGUGCGGUGCGGGCGGUUUGGGCGGUUUUUUAUCACCCCUACUUAUUGCCCAUUGCUUUUUUCAUGUUCAGUAAUGGAAAAACUUGUACUUACAAGUGAAAAAUGGAAAUUCCUAUCAAUUAUUCGGCAGAUUCUGAUUAAAUCAUACUUGAUUCAGAGUAGUUCGAAGUUGAUGCUUGCUUAAAAGUUAAAAAUACUAUAUAUAGAGAUGUUUUACUCUUUAUAUUUCUUUGGCUGAAUCAGCAGAAACUGAUUGGUAAUCUGCUUGUUGAUAUGCAGGCCUACUACAGGAAGUUCUAGUCGAGCGAUUUUGAGAGGUUCUUUUCGGAAAUGAUACAAUUCAGUUGGACAGUUCUGUUUUAUUUACUUUUUCUUUUUGGUUCACAAAAGAGGACUGACAUGUAGUUUCUGAUAUCUUAUAAUAGCAUAGACCAGAAAGUUGAGUUUUAUUAAUUUCUACAUUUGACAUUUCAAAAUUCAUGUUGAUGGUUCUGACGUACAUUAGUUCGCAGAUGAAAUGAAUAAAACUGAAUCAUGCAAAAUCUUUUUGUUGUCUUGUUUUCUUACUUAAAAAUUUCUACUAGAAAGGGCUUAGCAAGAAGAGACACAGGUAUCAGGCCUUCACUCAUAACUUAGCUUCGAUUCUUGUUAGUGAUUAGGUGUAGCAGCUGACGUUUACUCCUUCAAAAAACAAUAGAACCUCGGAUUUGAGUAGGGCUUUAAAAUGAUCCGGGUGAUCCCGGGUACCCUCUGCUCAGGUACCGGAUCAUAUUAUUUUUAGCUUGUCCAGAUUUGGGUCUGGGAUCGAUUUAUUAGGAUAUAAACCGAUCUUGGGUAUUUGAGAUUCGGAUCUGAACAAGAUAUGAUUCAGUAUCGUAUUUUCUAUUUUUUAACCGGGUAGUUUAUGAUCUAUCGAACAUGAGCCGGAUAUGAUCCAUUAUCAUCAAAUAUCAUUAUUAUUUUAGUUGUUUAAAUAAUUAUCAUUUAGUCUGAGUAAACAUAAUAUUAUAAAGUUUAAUAAUUUUAAAUUAAAACUUAUACUUAUAUGUUGGUAUGUAUCAUUUAUUAAAUAUAUAUGAAGAUAAUAAGCAUGAUCACAUUAAAUAAAUCAUAUUUUAUGAAGAUAUAAACUUAAAUAAGACAUUACAAUUUUAUAAAAUGAUGACUAUUUACUUGCAAAUAUGAUGGUGUUAAAAUGUAAUAUGUAUAUGAGUUUGAAUCGAAUAUGAACCGUGGAUCAUAUUCGGUUAUUCGGGUAGGAUCAUAUUAUGAAAAAUCAUAUGAGAACGAAUCUGAACGGGUAUAGGUGUGCUCGUAUCCGGGAUCAUAUAUUAUACGGGCCUAAUUUUUCCGCCAGAUUUGGAUCGUUUUCAAAACGGAUAUGAGACAUGUAUCAUAUUUUCGAGUCGGAUAUAAGCCGAAACACCGGAUAGUCCGUAUUGAUUUACAGGCCUAGAUUUGAGAGUAGAUAAAGAACUACCAGUAGUAGAUAAGAGUUGACACAGUGCUGCUAUUUAGAGUAUAUAAUUUAAAUUUGUGCAUUGCUGCUGUAUUAUUAUCUGUUAAUCAAGUAGAUCAGUUGAAUGUUGCAGCUGAAUCAUCUAAUUCCAUCAUGCUGACAGGUGAUGGUUCCUUAGAAUUAGAACUGACACGAUAAAACUGCAAUUAAUCUAGUAUAAGAAUAUGCACCAUCCUAUGGGUUUAGGUAACCAUCUUUAGAGAAAAGGUCCAAAAAUCAUUAUUUUAAGCCAAAUUUCCGGAUAAAUGGCCCCCAAUUGUUACUUCAAAACACGAAUUGAAAUUAGAUUUUGAAUUUUUUGAGAAAAACACGACUUGAAAUUGUGUUUUCAGCUGAAAACACAACUUGAAGAUACGUUUUGAACAAAAAACGCGAUUUAAAGUUGCAUUUUUGUUAACACAACACGAAGUUGCGUUUUGAAGUGAUAGUUGGGACUUUUUUUCAAAAAAUGAUAAUGUAGACCUUUGCUGUUAAAUGGUGACAUUUGGGGCAAAAGAAAAGAGUCCUUAGUUACUUAUCCGAAAAUUCUUUGGAGAGUAUGUUUGGCUGUGUUAACCUUCAGAAUUGCAGGUUGGAAAAAGUUUUAACAAGUUUCCUUUAUUCAUUAUUUGAGGGCAUUAACGUGUAUAUAGUGUGUAUAUGCUCCUGUGAGUUCAAUUGGAAUCCUGGCACGCGAAUAAAGUCGAGGGACAUGUUAUGCAUAAAGUUUUUGUUCGUUAUCAAUCGCUAAUCAGGAUGGCAAACGAUGUGGGUAAAUCUAAAAUCUUUAAAUUAUACAAGUUCAACUAAGAAUUAUUUUCUUACAAGUUGAAAAGCUUAUAAAAACAAAAAAAACUUGAUGAUCAGAAGUUAAAAAACAGACCAGAUAAGCUCACUACAUGUCCUUGACAAUUAGAAUCGAUAUUGCGUUAUAAUUUUAGGACAAAAGGCCCCAGGAGCACAAUUUCAGUACAUAAAUGUCCCAAUUAUCACUUCACCAAAAGAUGACCCUGCCUGUCACUCCAUAACACUUGAAAGAGCGUUUACCAAAAACCUUGAAAACGUCACACAAAGUGACGUUUCCUACUUAUAUGUACAGACAAAACGUAACCACAAGUUAAAUUACACUGUUGAUUUAUAUAUAUAUAUAUAAUUUUAACAUUAGUAAACAUUUUAGGGUUCACAUUUUGGUUUUUAUUUAGAACCUAAACCCUAAUUAAUGCGAGACUUUAGACCCUAAAACCGAGGAACCAAAUUAAAAAAUUAAUCUUAAAAAUAUUGAUUAAUAGUUUUUAAUAUUUUAGGGUUCAUAUUUGGAUUUUAGAAUAAUUUAUUUAUCUUGAAAUUAUAUUAAUUUAAAAAAAAAUUCAAAACUCAACUUUAAGUUGCGUUUUGGAGGUAAAACGCGGCUUAAAGCUGUGUUUUUGAAGCAAAACUGUAUUUAAACUUAUGUUGCAAGAUUUUUUAGAAAUUUAAAAAAAAAUCAAAAAUGGGUAAAACGUUGGCCUAAGCCACGUUUUAUGUUUUGUAAAUUGAAGGUAAUGAUGGAAACGUGAGACGCAGUUGCGUCAUGCCUUUUCAGUUCGCUAAACGUGACACACAGUGACGUUUUGCUGAAAACGUUCGUUGAAGUGGCGUUUUGAAGUGCCCGUCAGGGUCAUUAUUUUGGAUCGUGACUUUCAGGUCCAUUUCACUAGAAAUAGUGAUUCUCGGGGCCGUCACCCAAGUAUAUGCAUAUCUCGGGCUGGGGAUGCUGCUUUUGGUAUAUACAACAAUACUAAACUGUCAUAAACAGAGGCCUUUCUCUGUGAUUUGUGACAGUUUCAACUUGAAGUACUAAGUGACAGUCAUUGAUCAGUAGACGACGUUCUUUUAUCUUUUGGCAUUCACGGUUACGUUAAAAUUAAUAAGAAACGUCAAACUUUAUAAUAUAGCACUCCACAAAUACAUUACAGAACUCAAUGAGUUACGGUGGAUGCAAAACAGGAGUUGCAUUCCUUGUUGAACUGAAAAUGACAAAGCAUAUGAGAUACAUUUCCUCAUAAGUUUAUUUCUUACUCAGGCACAUAUAUGGCCUCAGCGUUAUUAUAUAUAUCGGUUUUUCCUCCGACUACUUCUCCAUGCACCGGAGGUAAGCUUAGUUUACGCUGCACCGAAAAAUAUAUUAGUCUGUCAUGUGUACUAAUGAACUAAUCAAAAAAGCUAUCAACAAUCAGUGAAAUAAACUUACGUAUUACAGUCGAAUUUACGAUCAGCAGAGUAAAUAAAUGGAAGUCCACAUUUCCCAGGAAGAGCGUCUAUUUUUGGAAUACGAGCAUCUGGAGCAGGAACACCAGCUCUGUUUCUAUUAGAACGAUCCUGCACGCAACGACACAACUCAAUCCUCUCUUCUCUAGUCUUGGCCGUAUCACGGAAUGCUUUUAAUGAGUUGCAACACUCUGCAGAUGGCUCCUGCUGUUCGCCCCUGUGAAACGGAUCACAAAGUGCUUUUGUACGUUCUUGUAAUGUUGUUCCGCAUGUAAAAGCCUCCCCUUGCUCCACCAUCAUAAAAGCCCCCAAAAUUGUUGCAAAAACCAUCGUCAAGUACACAAUCCUCGCCAUUAUUUUCUCAGGUAUCUGUAGACUUCUUGCAAUGUGCUAUGUAGACAAAUUGUGCAGAAAUAGAUUAUGCAGGUAGUCGCAUUUAUAGGCAUGUUGGAGAAGCACUAGAACAAAAUUAGCAAAUUUAACUAACAGUUAGGACACCUGGUGUGGUAUGUUCACGGAAAUGCCUAGGAACAAUUUGAUGCAUGCAUCUCUAUUAAUAUGUCUAAUUGCGUGGUUAAAUGUUAGGCUUCAUCUGAAAAACUACAAAUUUUUAUGUCCUAAGAUGUGACAUGACACCAGGCGCUUCUAUCUGGUAUGUAAAUUAGUUGCCUAAUUAUCCUCUGCUUUUUGCCUGUUUUAUUUAAUUUGUAACUGCAACUCCCUCAUCUCCCUGUUACACAAUGUAAGAUCACAGCACUCACAACCCGUUAGAAAAACGAGCCGAGCCGAGACAAAUUAUCCACAAUUAAACCAUGUUCAAAUCCCGAGUUUGGCCAGUUGGAUGAGUUAAUUUAUUUAAUAUUAAUAUUUUGUCAGAUGUGAUUAACACGAAUGAAAAUUAAUAUCACAUCACACUACAAAUUAAACAUAUGUUUGAUUGUAUAAGUCUAAAUAAUUUUCUUGCAACAAAAAUAAGUUUAACGAUACAAAAAUCAGAUGUGAUGCAAUGAAAUGAUCCUUGAAACUCUUAUAAUAUUAUUAUAUUCACUUUUGAAACUUUUGUGAUUAAGAAAACUGCAAAGACAAUUAUUAUGAUGUAAAUUAACUUUUACCUAUAAGGCAAUUGAGUAUUUGUUAAAUUUAUAAAUUAAAAAAAUUCAAAUUAUUGAAAUAAAAUAACUUUAUUACUAAAUAAAGUUUAUUACAUAUUAAAAAAUUAAAAACUUCAUAAUAAAAUGCAAAUCACUAAAAAAACCAAAAAAGUUAGCAUAUCUGACUUCUACCUUUUGGCUUAAAACCCCGAAAAAAGCACUUAUACUUCGUUUGCCAAACACCACCUAAAUAAUAGAAGCAACCUAAAGCGCUAAAAGAAGCAUGAAAGAACUUAAAAUAAUAAGUGUUGCCAAACACCCACUUACUAUCUCCUAUUUUUCCUAUAUUAGUGUUGGAAAUUUUUUUGGAGUAUAACUUUGUACCUUACAUAAAAAAUAGUUUUCAUAUAUAUAUAUAUAUAUAUAUAUAUAGGUCAACAAUAUUCCAGAGAGUUACUCCUUAUAUGGAGUUACAUAGUGCGCCAUUGUAAAUCAUCAAUUUUAUUAUAAAUUCUAUUAUAGAAUACAUAUAAAACGUGAUUCUAAUAUACAAUUCUAUAAAAUAUACCUAUUUUAAGUAAUCUAACACUUAAAAUUUGAUUAAAAAAAGUAUAUUUUCAAAACUGAUUCUACAACAGAAUAAUUCUGGAUGAUUAUUAUUCUGUUAUAGAAUCAUGUCGAGAUAUUGCAUAAUUUUAGAUGAUCUUUGGAAUAAAAAAAUUUAUAACUUCGUUUUCGGUUUAAUAAUUAAAAUUUGAAAUUAUAUUCCAUAAAAAAUAUUAUAGAAUAUAUAGUAUGUAUAUAUUUAUAAUGUUGUGCUACGUAACUCCAUAUAAGAGGGUAUGCUAUGGAGUGCUACCCUGUAUAUAUACAGUACUUACAAAAUAAAGUAGCACAUCACCAAAAAAAUUACAAAAAAAGCAUAAAUUACAUAUCUUGUAUUUCAAUUACUUAGUUAAGUACUUCAUAUGAAGGUUGUAAAAUAUCUGAUCCAGGAUCCAUAAAAUUCUCAUCUAAAAUUUUGUAAAGCGUUAUUUUUUAUAUUUAAUUUUAAAAAUUAUUAAGUGAAAUGUAAGUGAAAAUAAUUUGAUCAGAGUGUAUAUAAAUCAUUGUAAGUCAGACCUUCAAGGGCUUAGAAAGAUCAUGCUUUAAAAAAAAAAUGUUAAGCAUUCCAAUUAUAUCUACACAUGUAGUACUGUAGUGAUUAUUAACAAACGGUUUUGACAGUGCUGAAGUGUGUGUCCCAAACAGCUAGCAGGGAUCUGAUUUUGAUGAUUUAUGUGCUGUGUUGGAGUAUUUGGCGGAGACGGAAUGAUUGGGUAUGGAAUCAUGUAGCUACUUCACCUGUUGGAAUGCGUUCACGAGCGUGCUGUAUGUUUACCGAAUGGCAACGAUCAAGGGAAGAUAACUCUGUACAUAACACACAACAGCACACUGUGGUUCGAUUUCGAACGUGGUGUAAACCAGCUGAAGGCUGGGUUAAAAUAAACGUAGAUGCAGCUUUUGUGCAGGGGACAGACCAGGUAUGAGUUGGAUGUGUUAUUAGGGAUGAAAAAGGUAACUUUCUUUUAGCCAGAAGUACUGUAGUGCGAGCGAGAUUUCAGCCGAGAGAAGCAGAAGUUAUGAGCCUCAAGGAAGCUUUAACUUGGACGAAAGAAUGGAGUAGAAAGUGUCUGUUUGAAUGUGAUGCCAAGCUCCUAGCUAGUUGAUGCAGUAAAUGGCGGUCAGGGAAACACCUACUUUCAUGCAAUGGUCGAAAAUUGCAGGGAUAUUCUUAAACACUUUGAUGAAGUUUUAGUUACUUUUAUCUUUAGGUCUGCGAAUACGUAGCUCAUGAAUUAGCACGAGUUGCAUAUUCUAUGUCAUGCUCUAUACUGCUCCAGAUUUCAUCAUUUUUACGAUUGAUUCUGAGAAGUAUUAAUGCAAGUGCGUUUAUAAAAAAAACAAACAAACUUCUCCAAAACAAUAUUUCACAAAUCUAUAUGGUAUUUCGUCUAUGGCCAAUAUAUAUGUAACCAUAUACCCACCAAACCCCAACCUAAUUUGGUGCGUAAAAGCAAUGUGAGAUUAGGUGAUAUUUGAAUUUAAUUUUCAAACAUGCAUUUAAUCAAGUAACUAUAUUUGCCAAAAUCCAAACUGUAUACAUGUAAAACAAAUUACAAAUAAUUAAAAUAAUAUGAUUGCUAGGUGAAAAAAUAAAAUUUAAAUUUUAAUAUAAUAGAAAAAACCUAUUAUGUCACAAUAAAUAAAAGGGGUGAAACAACAAACCAACAAUUUUCCACAAGACAAACAAAAAUUUGAAAUACUCCUUAAUCUUUUAUUAUCUAAGGGCCUUCUCCUUUUUGAUAUCUUUGUGCAUUCUCAGAAACUUGAGAUACCUUUCAAAGCGUUUGUCCGCAGCUUGCUCCUAAGUAUUAUAAAAAAUCAAAAUUGAGUUUAUUAUAUGUAUUGUAAAUAAACAUAGCAAAAAAGAGUGGGAAAUGUCAAAUAAAAAAGAUAAAACAAGAUGUAUAAAAGCGCUAAGUCCAACAAGUCUAACCUGGCUUGGAGAGUUCUUGCAGUUUUCACAAAAAAUAAUGCAUGAAAUCUUUGCAUCAGUGUUGGUACAAGAUGGAUGGGACCUACAAGGAACAUUAAAAGCACAAUCAACGCAACACGAAAACUUCUAUGGAAAUUGAAAUCACAAGGCAUGCACGUUUAAGGAGAUAAUAGUUCUUAGUGAGUUAAUCAACUUAUAGUAUAAAAAGGCUUUACCACACUUCUUAUGAAAAUAUAGAAACUAUUCAACAUUCAACAUCAGUAAAUAAAAGAGUUGCAUGUAUGCACCUCAAGAUUUCUUUUUCUGAAAUGAUGGAAAUAAAAAUAAAGCACAUACUUUGAUACAUAAAAGAGCAAUUUUUUUAUUAUAAUAGAUACCAUACCUUGAUUUGCAUAUCUGACAAUGGACAUACAGAUCCGGAUUAUAAGGAUUCCCGCAAAUGCACAGCCUGCAAUUAAGAUUUAAGAAUAGGCAAAUUAGACACUUUGAAAAGAAAAAUUUUGUAACUAAACACAAAUAACAAGUAACUAUAUGAGUCGCAUAUCGCUUACCAAUCAGCAUCUUUGACAUCAAUCAAUUUUUUCUUAUAAGCAUCAUACUCAAAUCGACUAUAGUAAUCGGAAUCAGAACGCCGACCUUCAAGCUCCAUAUAAUCAUGGAAAGUGUGCACGGUACACUUUCCUAUGAUACAAUCUAGACUUUGAGGAUCAAAGUGGUUAGAUAGAAACAAUUCUUUUUUCCCGUGACAGUCUUUCUUCCAAAGGUCAGUGUCUUGGGGUCUGUAGUACCAUCUUACUUCCACUUUUUUAGCCUUAGAUUCUACAAUCUGAGCAACAUAUGGUGGAUCAUCCGGAUUAGAGGCCAUCAGAAGCACACAAUCUCCAACUACAGAACAUCAAAAGUAUAGACAAUGUGAGAAAUAGACAAUACCAUAUUCAACAACUCAUACAAAAAAGAAAGUGUGAUUGUCAUCCCCUAAACAUCUAUGUGUGGUAACUCACUAGGGGGUCAUGUGUUUUUUUUUUUGCAAUGCUUUUUGAUGAACUUAUAUUAAUGUAGUCCAUUAAGAUUGUUUUAAAAAAAUCAAAAGUUUAAAAGUGUAUAGUACAUAUCAUGUUUAAUCAAAAUAUUGUAAAUUGUAAUAAUUUAUUCAUGUACCAUACGAUGAGACGAGGAAGGUAGAAAGAACAAAGAUGAAAUAGAAGAACAUAUCUGUCUAAAUAGCAAAGAGGUAUGUUGAGAAGAAAAUUUGUAAAUGGACAUCCGCUGACAGACAAGCAUAAAAGUGAGCAUCAAGGGUUGAGCCUCAAAGUCAAUCUCCUUGAGGGAACACUUCAUGAGAAAUAAGGACCUUGAGAAUGAGUGUUGAAGGAUGGUGGGCGUUAUAUAGAGUUUUAUUCUAUUUUAGUUCUCUUUACUACCUCCUAAUGACUUUCUAUAAAAAGCUCAUAAUAAUAUAUAACAUAAUUAUUAAGUUUUUUAAGAUAUAUAACAUAUUUAUUAGGCUUUUUAGAGAGAUAUUGUGUAUUUUUUAGGGAGAAAUGUAGAUAGCUUCCAGUAAGAGAUUGAGCAGGGAUUCAAAGGAUUUGUUUGAAAAUUAUAGAGAUAUUUUUAAGUUAUAAUUUCUAAACUCUAAGUUGUAGAGAUAUUUAUUAUUAGUGUGAUUUCAUUAUUUUAGAGAUGGGAUGAUGAUAAUCUAAUUAUCUAGGUAAGACCAUAUUUGGUGACUAGUACUAGGACAGACACAAUAUAAAAGCUAGUAAACUUACAUUAGACAAAGUUAACGAAAAAUUGAGUUUAACCACCAUCAAUCCCUCAAAUGACCAUCAAUUACAUGACUGUUAUAUGGUAGAGCUUAUGAAAUAAAUAGAUGAUAAUACCAAUGAGGGAGAAAUGAAAUUGAUGGAAAAUAAACAAUGAACUACAUCCAUUAAGUAAGUGUUACUCCCUCUGUUACAUUCAAUUCUAUCCAUACUUUAGUACUCGUGUAAAGUAUAUUUUUUAUAAUUCUUUUUUAAGAUUUACUUCUUCCGGAUAAAAAAUUAAAUAUUAAAUUUUUAUUAGUUAUAGAGCUAUACGUCAUAGUCUUGAAGAAGCAUUAAAGUACGUGCUGCAUCCACCAAUGUAUACAACUCAGAGGGACAGUGAGAGUAUUAAACAAAUGAUGCCUCCCAGGCAUCGUUUAUUUAAUACUCCCUCCGCCUCCUGAGUUGUAUACAUUUAUUAUAUCAUAACAUGAGCAACAACACAAAUAAUAAAAUCAUAAUUAAAACUACAUAAAUACAUAGAGUUAUUACCAUUAUAAUGAGGACUAUUAUGUUUGCGUAGCUUCGAUGGUGCAAGGGAGUUGAUAGAGUAAUGUGAAGAGAUUCUUUUCUUACCCUUGGGAUCCCUCACACCUUGUACAUCUUUUCUUGUGCGGCUCAUAACUGUAAAAUAUCAAAAGUAAAUUUUAGCCCAAUCUGUUGCAAUUGGAAAUCAAAAACGAAAACUCUGUAUAAAUUCGAAAACUAAAAUUGGAAUCAAUUGCAAGAAACAUGCGAGUACUUACUAAUUAUUAUUUCAAACUAAUUACCCGAUUAUACAUGGACACACACCACUGUACCUUUAGAUAUUUACGACGGAGAAAACAGAAUCUUGGGAGAAAGAGGAUAUAUUUGGGGGGGGGGGGGGGGGGGGGUGGUGUUAUGAUACUGGUGUAUAUGCAUAUUAUUAGUCAAUCUAAUUACUCGAUUAUACAUGGACACACACCACUUUACCUUAAAUACGUCGGAGUGAGACUAUUGGAUCGUGAGAGAAAGAGGAAAUAUUAGGGAGGGGGUAGAUUUUUCAAUUGUUGAAGAGACUAAAAGUAUAUAGUCUUGUACUCAUGAGGCGAUAAUAUCUAUGGGGCGAUAAGAUCUAUGAGGCGACAAUAUCUAUGAGGCGAUAAAAUCUAGGAAUAUUUGUCGGUGUGCGUCUACAGGAGAUAAAGGUUCCCGAUGGCCAUGGAAAUGUCUGUGUGCGUCUACACGAGAUGCAGAUGCAUCUGUGUUUGUGGGAGCAAUAUGACGUGUCCAAGAAUCUGUAAAAAUAAAAAUUACUUUUUGUAAUUUUGGAUAUAUGGGAAAAUUUUCCAAAACUACAUUUUUCAGUAUAUCACAAAUAAAAACUACUUGCCUUAAUAAAUAUCAAAUCAGAAUUUGAAAUUUCUUUUUAAUUAUUUUGAUACCCAAAAAGUCUUACUUUUCUUCCAAGCCCGUGACCAUAUUUUUGGAAAAGGUGUAUAUUAAAAAGAGAAAAUAUUUUUGAUAAGUCGGUUUUUUCUCAAAUCAACCCGUAUAAAUUGAGGUCAAACAUUAUAAAUUUUAACAUAAACAAUUUUUUGUGCCUAUUUAUCUUCUCAAUUUAAUACAAUAAUGAGUUACACUAUGCUGGAUGCUUUGAAUGGUGAUAGAGAUGAUUGGCUGGUAAGAGCAAGAGUUUGUCGGGUGCACAAAUUUAUUUUAUUCUAGAAAUUUUAAUUUUAAAUCAUUAAUAUAAAUUUUUAUAGGCCGCCGCAACACGCGGCUUCUCAACUAGUUACCUCUAAAUAUGAGUUAAAAGAAUAAAAAUAUUAUUUAUAGAGUUUUAUUAUUGAAUGUUACCACAAUAAAGUAAAGAUUAUGACUUCUAAUUUUUAUGAUAAUAUAUUUAAAUUUUAUCAAGUUUAUGUGCUAUUUAGUUUUAUAUUAUAAAGUUAUUUUCUUUGUUUUAAUUAAAAAUAAAUAGUUGAUAAACUUGUUAAAAUUUAAAUAUAUUAUCAUAAAUACUAGUUAUCAUAACCUUUUACUUGGUUAUGGUACAUUCAAGAAUAAUAUUUAGAACUCUAUAAAAAAAUAUUUUUACUCUCGAAGCACAUAUACUUGUUUGAUAUCUUUCAUGACUUUAAUGAUAUAAAUGAUAUCCCGUUAAGACUCAUGAAUAGAGUGAUAUAUGAGUUUGACUUCAGCAUUUUAAUAUUUACUGAAGUACAUUAAUUUUGAUGAUACAAAUGAAGGACAUUUCAUUUCUUUUUGAUAAACAACCAGAAGUUUACUCUUAUAAUUUGCUAAUUUGGAGACAACAGAAAUUCAAAUCAAAUAUGUAUAUAAUUGUCGAUGUUUGAUUGGUGCACAUUAUAUCACUAUUCCCAUUUCCAAGUAAAUCCUAUUAUUUUGUGUGUAAUGAAGGAUUAGCUUUGUCCGCUAGAAAAUUCAUCUAAAUUAUAAUUAAUCAAUAUGUUGUGCAUCAGGUUAUGUUGGGAAUUAGUUUUUGAGUCUACACGAAUUCUAAAUAUAUAAUUAGUCACUAGAGGUGAAUAUGAAAUCUCGUUAGGAUUGUUCUUCUUUUUGGAAAAUUAUUUUCUUUUUAUAGUUUGGUGAUAAUUUAUGAAUCUAGAGCCAUAAUGUACAUAUUCUUUAUUGCAUUUAAUUUUUCGCAACAAUGUUUCAUAAUUUACAUACUUAUACCGCUUUUGGACAUUUGAAAUUUUGGAUUCUCGUUUAAUGUCCCUAGCACGUUCUUUUCGCAUUGCUUUAUCAUUUCUUUAUAAAAAAAAUUGCAUUUCGCUAGAGGUUUUAGUCCUUACCUAUGUGAUAUUGUUAUGUGUGUGCAUCAGGGUUUUUAUAUGCAAAACUGGAGAUUUCUAGACACUUCUUUAGGGCCCGAUUCACUCGACUCUCUUCUUAUGUGACAUCAUUUUGUGUAUGUGCUAAUAUCGUAUUUAUAUCAAAAAUCUCAAGAGCUCCAGAAGCUUCUUUCUCCAUAAAAUUCUAGAUACUUUAAUGAGGCCGAUUCACUCAACUCCGCUCAUGUGAUGACAUCAUUUUUUAUAUGUGCUAGUACUGUAUUUAAUAUUUAUAUCAAAAAUCUCAAAAGCUCUAGACACUUCCUUUUCCCCAGAAUUCUAGACACUUCUUUAGCGACCGAUUCACUCGACUCUUCUUAUAUGACAUCAUUGUGGCUAAGUGCUCGUACUAUAUAUAUCAAAAAUCACAUGAGCUCUAGACAACUCCAAAUACAUCCUCCCAAUUCACUAGAUUCUUCUUAUGCCCUUGUAUUUAAUCAUAUGAAUGCGUGUUAUGGUGCUCUUUACCAUGCAAUUUCGCCGAAGCGAAUUGUAUCUUACAAAAUCCAAAGGAGAUGAAUAAGGUAGGAAGAUUUCAUGCAUGGGUAAAUAUCAUUGUAUAUCAUCCCUUGUUCCAGAUCAAGAGCCCGAUAACACUAUUGUAAGAACCGUAACAAAUCUUCAAAGAGAAAUGAAGAGGUUCAGAUAAGAAAUCACAUUACAUCAGUUACUUGAGAAAUUUCAGAUGGAAUAUCCUAAUAUUCCCAAGUAACUAAUUUGAUGUGUCGUAUUGGAUUUAACCUCUUAUUUUUUUUUGAUUGGCAAAAGUACUUCAUAGUAAUGUUUAUCGGGUCUUGAUCUGGAACAAGGGGUGAUACAAUGACUUGCAUAUGACACUGAGGGUGAUAUAUAGUAAUAUCACCUACAAAUAACUGAUCAGUGUGUCCUCAAUUAUGCCUGAAAAGAGAUGUCCAGGCGGACACUAGUCACACUGCUGCAGUCAGUUCUUAUAAUGAUUUUUUUUCUAAUCUUUGUAAAAUGUAUGACUUUGGGCAUGUAUUUGCAUGUUAGUAUAUUGAUAAUAUUGUGGUAGUUUUGUUUCUUUUGAUGUGUAUCCACCUAUACUUUGAUUACAGUAUUAAUGGUUAUCAGAAUAGCAGAGUCUAAUAACUUUUUUGAAUACUUUGGACAUGGAUGAAUGAUAAAAAAAUGAUCUAGUCGCUACAUAUAAGGUUUGUUGACUGUUUUAAAUAAACAUUAAUAAUUUUGUAAGGGAGACAUGUUGCACCGCACAUGUUUAUAUGAAUUUUUAUAGGGUUAAAUAUCAACUAUGGGAUAAACUGUGUCCAAAAAACUGAAGCAGGUCACGCAUUGCAAAUUUAACGGACUACGUCCAAAAAACUCAAAUAGAUCAAUUUAAUUUAAUCAUUUCGUUCAAUUCGAAAGCCGUUGAUUGAUGAUUAAUUCGAGUUGAGUGACCUAUUUGAAUUUUUUGGACAUAUUCAAUCACCUACCAGAUAUCAACAAAUUGUAAGAUACUGAAGACAUAGAUCAAAAUAUUUUUUGAGUUUAAUAUUUUAAAGAUAACAAAUUUAUAUCAAAAUAUAAGUAAAAAUUAAUUUUUGAAUAGAUAUAAAUCAUCUUUAUUAACUUUAAUUUUUAAAAUUAUUUUUUGAUUUUUGCUAUUUUUUUAAUUUUCAAAUUUUUUUUAAAAAUUCUAUUUAAAAUCAGAUUCAGAUCCGGAUAGUAUUCAUAUCGUGAUACUAUAUCCGGAUACGAAUAUGAAUUUUCGGAUCCGAAUCAACAUACAUACAGAUAAAUAUAAGAUGGUAACUGACACAAAAAAGAUUAAUAUAAAAUAGAUUAAUAUCAAAAUUAUCUGUUUUACAGCUUGACAUUUUUGUGGGGUGACGGCCCUGAGAGUCACUAUUUUUAGUGAAAUGGACCUGAAAGUCACGAUCCAGAAUAAUAACCUUGACUGGCACUCCAAAACGCCACUUUAACGAACGUUUUCAGCAAAACGUCACUGUGUGUCGCGUUUAGCAGACUGAAAAGGCAAGACGCAACUAAGUCUCACGUUUCCAUCAUUACCUUCAAUUUACAAAACAUAAAACGUGGCUUAGGCCAACGUUUUACCCAUUUUUAAUUUUUUUUAAAAAUUCUAAAAAAUCUUGCAACGUAAGUUUAAAUACCGUUUUGCUUCAAAAACACAGCUUUAAGCUUCGUUUUACCUCUAAAACGCAACUUAAAGUUGAGUUUUGAUUUUUUUUUCUUAAAUUAAUUUAAUUUCAAGAUAAAUAAAUUAUUCUAAAAUCCAAAUAUGAACCCCAAAAUAUUAAAAACUAUGAAUCAAUAUUUUUAAGAUUAAUUUUAUAUUUUGGUACCUCGGCUUUAGGGCAAAACCCUAACCGUCAGUCAAUUUAAUUUAAAGUAUAAAUUAAUCAUUCUAAAACACAAACAUAAACCCUGAAUGUUAACGCUUUUUAAUUAAUUUUAUUAAACCGGUUCCUCAGCUUCAGGGCCUUCGGCCCUAAAACCUCGCAUUAGUUAGGGUUUAGCCUCGAAGUAUUAGGGCCUAACGGCCCUAAACCCUCAAUCCUAAACUCUAACCGUCGGUCAUUUUAAUUUACAGUAUUAAUUAAUCAUUCUAAAACCCAAAACAAAACCUAAACCCUAAAUGUUAACGAUUGUAAAUUUAUUUAUUAGACCGGUUUCUCGGCUUUACGGUCUUCAGCCUUAAAGCCUCGCAUUAAUUAGGAUUUAGGCUCGAGGGAUUAGGGCAUAACGGCCAUAAACAUCCAUCCUAAACCCUAAUCGUUUGCCAAUUUAAUUUAAAGUAUGAAUUAAUCAUUCUAAAACCCAAACAUUAAUUAGGGUUUAGGCUGGCCCUAAACCCUCAAUCCUAAACCCCAACCGUCGGCCAAUUUAAUUUACAGUCUGAUGAAUUAGUCAUUCUAAAACCCAAAACCAAACUUAAACCCUAAAUGUUAACGACUGUAAAUUUAUUUAUUCAACCGGUGCCUCGGCUUUAGGGCCUUCAGCCCUAAAGUCUCGCAUUAGUUAGGGUUUAGGCUCGAGGGAUUAGGGCCUAACGGCCCUAAACCCUCAAUCCUAAACCCUAACUGUCGGCCAUUAAUAUUUUUAAGAUUAAUUUUUUAGUUUGGUUCUUCGGCUUUAGGGUCUAAAGCCUCGCAUUAAUUAGGGUUUAGGCUCUAAAUAAAAACUAAAAUGUUAACUAAUGUUAAGUUUUUUUAUAUAUAUAAAUCAACAGUGUAACGUAAACUGUGGUUACGUUUUGUCUGUACAGAUAAGUAGGAAACGUCACUUCGUGUGCGUGCGGGGGCGCGCUUUACCCAGACACAUUGUCAAUCAUCUAAUUGAAAAAGCUCCUCCUAUUAGUUUUUUUAAAAUUAGCUUUUUAGAUCCAAAAAACUAUUUCAAUAAACUAACUACCAAACACUAUCAUUAGCUUUUCCAUUUGGUCAAACAUCUAAUUUGAUUCAAAAAGCUAAUUUCAUCUCAAAAAACUAACUUCCAAACACCCCCAUUAUACUCUUAACCAUAUUACACUCUUGACCAAACAUAUUCUCACCGUCCAGCUGCCAGAGUUAUUUGACACGAGAGAAUUAUGAAUGGAAAAUUGGUAGUCAUGUCCUACCGUUUAUUUGAUAUACUAAGUAAUGCAUAACCAAUCUCGUUUACCGAAAACUGUAAUACUCGUUUUUAUAAAGGAAUUCCUUUAGUGUCCAAUGUUUAUUUCCUGUACGCCCAAAUGGGCAGACUAUAAUUAAGCCUUUUUUUUCUCUUUAUUUAUUUUCCGCAAUGUGACAAUUUGACGAAAUAAUAACACACCACGUCACCAAUUUUUAACGUCAUAUACAACAAUACAACUGAUAGUUUAACAUAAAGCAUUAGUAGUUGCAGAACAUGGGACAUGAACAUGAGGUCUUUGGAUGAGGCCAUAUACACAUACAAUACAAAUUUCCAUCAAAGUUAUAAAGUCACACAAUCAAAUACGGAAUUUGAUUACAGAGGACUUAAUCAGAUGAACCUACCUUAGAUUUAUGUGUCGGAGAUGAGAAGAGAGAAAAAAAAAAAAGGCCACAACAAAGAAUAUAGUUUCUCCAACUACUUAGACCAGGCAACGGUAUCAAUCUCUGCUUGGGCGCCUCUGUACAGUUCCAACCUCUUGGCCAGAGAGAUACGCCGCUGCAUUAUUGCCGGAUCCUCGUCUAACAAUUUACCCAACUGCUUUGCCUGCAAAUAUAUGAUGUAUAGUAAGCAACUUGGCAUAUCUCAUCAUGUUUUACUUGCAAGGUGAGUGAAGGAUAAACUAAAAAAUUUACCUCCUUUUUUCCCAAUUCAGCGAAGAAAUGGUCAAGUAAGCCACGCUUGGCCUCACGUACUUGACAAUAAACAACAGACUUUGGGAUGGAGUUCCUCAAACUUCCAAGCACCAUAUGGACAUAUGACAACACGUUGGAACCUAAGUUUGAAAGACGAGUAUAUAAUUAAACAGUCAAUAUUACACUAACUGUCCUAAAGGAAAAUCAGACAAGGAACACAAAACCUUGAUUAUAAGAUUGUGCUCAAAACACAUUAUUAAGUAUGAUUCUCUGUGGACCAUCAUUCUUACCAAUGCGACGAAGAUAUGAAUCGUUAUAUCUAUCAAAGAUGGAAUGUGUUGGAUUUCCACCCUUCUCGACAUCCUGCGGAAGCUUCCUAAAGAAAUCAACAGUCAGGUAGCUACACUCCAUUUCAACUAGCUGAAGAGUAGCUUUUUUGCUAUCUAAUUUCAUCUUAUCCAAGGAUUCAAUUGCAGCAUUUGAAACCUCCACUCUCAGAGAGGGAUAUUGCUUCAGCUCCUGCAAAAGACAAGCAGUAAUACUGAGAUUCAGGACUAGGUAAUAUGGAUAGAUGUGAGCAUGGAUAUUAGAUGUAUUAACAAAAACAAUUAAAGCUAGAACUUGGGUGAAUUAACUACAGAAAACCCACAACCCUAAGGUUUCCCAACCAUAGAAGGGAGGAAACACCAUGGAAUGCAAGUAUGCAUACCAUAAAAGACUCAAUCAAUUAAAAAUAUCUUCAAAAAUCAAGUCAAAUAUGUAUGUAGGGAUUACAUCAAUAUAUAUAUAUAGAGAAUAUAAUACCUAAUUACAUAACCUGAAGGACUAAGGCCAGUAAAAACUGGCACUUCUAUAAAUAAACUCCGAACCCCACAUAUAAAACAAAUAGAUAGACACAUAUAUUUCUACACUUAAAAAUAUAACAAUUAAUAACAAGUAUAGGGUUCUUUAUUGUUCUUUUCUCUAAGGAUGUUCAUUUUGGAGAAUAUAUAUAUAUAUAGAGGCCUGGGAGGAAGUAGAGAAAAACAGUCAUGUGUUAGACACAGUACGAGGUGGCAGUCUAGUAAUUUUCUGAUUGUAAAUAAUAUGGAAAAUGUGCCAUCAAAUAUUACAUCAGCCAAAUUCCCUGUUUACAUAGAUUACUGCAUCCAAGAGAUCAGGCAUCUAGAAUAAGGCAUGAAAAGCAAGUCUCUAUCCAACUUUAGUGUUCCUCGGCACAAAUUAGUUAAAGGUAAGUUUUGGCCAAAAUACAAAGUUAUAGUUGAUAAAGAUAAGUUUUUUGGCCCAAACACAAAGUUCGAGUUAAUAUUUAUAGAUAAUGAACCGUUAAAUUUAGUGGGGACUACAAAUUCUAAAAGUGCACUUUCAUUCCAAAGCUCACACCCAAACUCCCAAGUGCACGAUGUCUGAAAUCUAAUAAUCCCAUGUAAGAAGCAAUAAGCAAAAUAUUCUAAUCACUCAAGAAAGACUAAUGUGAAAUAGUCUUUGAUACUAACCAUUGUUUCAUUGAUUGACUUGUGAACCAGGUCUUUUAGUAUAGCAUGAACCUGAAAACAUAAUAACGAAAUAUCAACAUAAGCAACUUGCAAGCAUAUUGCCGGUGUCAUAAAAUGUGUCUUAAACUAUUACUUGCAAUUAGCAUACAUAAGAAACAACACAAGACUAUCAAAUCUGAACACAUUCUCAAAUAUUUUAUGCAUGAACAUAUAUUCAAGAAAAAGUAUGAGACCUUACGAGCCAUUUAUGCCAAGUAUACUAGUACCUUUGUAUGGAAAAAGAGCCUCUUCUCUAUGCAUUUAUUAAUUAUUAAUUAAAUAUAGAGAAAAAUUCAGCACAAGGAUUCUCAACUCAAAAAAUAGUAUUAACAGACUGCUGCUCGAUAACUAUUAAUCAAAUUUUGUAUAUGACUAUGAUGGAAACUUAUCCAUAAUCUUCAGCAUAUAUGAAACCCUUAUGUGCAAUAAAGGGAGUAUAAUUACGAAGGAAAAGGGAAACUCGAGAAGAACUCUUGGUGAGGAAACACAUAAAACAUGACACUAAUAACCUCAAUUAUUUAUGAUUAAUUACUGCAUUCAUCAUGGAAUGUACGUAUUGGAAAACACAAUGAAAUGAUUAAGAGAUACAUAAUUACUAAACUAUCAAUAGAGAAUGACACCGAGAUGGCAUAUUUUAAGCAGAUUGUCUAGAAAGACUUGAUUCUUACCGCAUCAACAGCUGCCUCUGCAGGGCCUUUGAUGGUUACUAAGGUAGAUUCAAUGAGACGGCGGUACCCUUGUUCAGGAGCAAUUAAAUGAGGUUGAUAACCAUCAGCCUCGGUUAUGAGUUUUCUCACAUUUUCCAUGGAAAGCUGCUUGUCAAACUGUAACCUUUUCAAAGCAGCUGGAAGUUGAUUAUCAAAAACAUUAUACACUUUAUCACCGCCUGGCCGACUGCAUCAAUUAUAAAUAUUUUGAGUUGGAAAGUGACAAAUUAACCAAAAAUGUUAGAAAUAUUAGUGUACGUAACUACUUCACCAAACAUACAUGCCAUCAAGAUGUUCUUUAAAUAUUUGAUCGAAACUUCGACAGAUCUCCAUAAUCAUGUAUAAUUUUCCCUGCAAUAAGUAGUGAAAUACAUAUAAACCACUAAUACUUCAAGAGGCAGACACCAGCAAGUAGUGUAUACAUUUUAACCCUACAAAUCCUAUAUUACAAAUGAAAGUACUUGAUCUCAUUAUAUAAAAGAAUCACAGCACAGAGCUAUAGUUUCCAAGCACAAAAAAACUCAAGUAGGUAACUGCAGCUUCUAUUUAAUUAAUAAGUAAUCUUCUCCCUCUGGGUAAGAGGUAUACUUACUCCAGCAUCCAUAGCAACUGGCUUCCCAAGACGGCUCAAUUCUGUUUCAAGUUCAAUUAUAGUUUUAUUAAUCAAAGACUGGAGACCUGGUAUUCGGGACUUGAUGACAGCUUCCAAAUGCUGAAACAGUCGUGCAAAUACAUUAUCAAACAGAUGAUUCAUUGUAAAGCAUCAGACAUCAGGACCAAUUUAAAGAAAACAAAACAAAAAACAGAAACCCAACUUCAUAAACACACAAUUAAAUACACCAAACAUCAUAGACAACAUUAUAAUAUUAGACAAUAUAUAUAUAGGGUCAUGUUCUACUUAGAAUCCUUAGCCUAAGAACCAUUAGCCUUAUUUCUAGUAUUAUUAGGUUCUGCAGCAGAAGUGCACAUGCAAAACAUGUCGUGUUUCUGUAUUAUAUAUUGAAAUUAUUUUUGAGCAUACACAACAAUGCAAAAAAACAUGUAUUUAGAUUUAGAUCCUGAAAAUUUAUAUAAAAUUCAGGGUUCUGCUGCAGAACCUUACUGGUUCUAUGGUUCUAUCUUAGGGAUUGGUUCUCUCUUGAGCGCGACCCUAUAUAUUAAAAUAUAUAUAUAUAUAUAUAUAUAUAUAUAAUAAAAAAAACAACUUACCUUAGAAAGCACUUUUCCUAGAUGUUCAGAGCCCAUCCUGUGCGCAAGAUGUCUGUAUUCUGGGGAAUUAGCAAAAUACUCGCGUUCUUUCCGGCGAGCAGCAAUCAUGUCGACACUUUUAUUAAUAUCAGCUUGAGAUCGAUUAACAACACCAAUCCAAGGAAACUGUAGCUUAUAUGAUUUUCCUUCCAAGAUCUGAAAAAUCCAGUCGACAGAUUAAAGACAAUAAGUGUACAAAUUGAGGCCAUCAAUAUGAUAAUGAUAUCAAACACUGGAUGGACCUAAACAUCUAGGUUCCUCAAAAUAAUUUUGUUAGACAUUAAUAGAAGUUGUAUUCAGAAGAUCAUUACUUAGUGAUCAUAAUAAGAAAACUUCCAGUUUAGUAUGAAUGUGAGUUGUUGGUUGGAACAUAUUAUUAACGAAAGUUGUAUUCAGAAGAUAGUACUUUCUGGAUGAUUAUAAUAAGAAAACUUCCAGUUUAGCAUCAAUGUGAGAUGUUAGUUGGAACAUAUCAUUAAGCAAGCACAGAUUAUAAACUUAUCGUUCUUAUAAGAGAUGAUAAUAAAAUAUAUACAAACAUUUUCGAGUCUAAUGUGUAUAACAUUGGCUUCAUUAAGCAAAUACUCCUGUCCCAUAUAACUGGUUUGAUUGGAAUUUUUUGGUCACAUUGACUAGUAUGAUUCAAUAUAAAAUGUAAUCAUUUCAUAUAUUUAUAAAUUGGAAAUACAACUUUAUAAAAAUGUACUGUUCAUUAUAAUGCAUUUUAAAAAAAUUAACACUAAUCAUAAAAUACAUAAUUUGCACUAUAAAAUUGGUUUUCAACAGAGAAAAGGCCAAAUAAGCCAAAACAUUGGGACAGAUGGAGUCAUAUUAUCAAAAGAUAACAUUGGUUCACAAAAAACAAAAGCAACUUGCCUCCACUGCAUCAGUACCCUUGUCCAUUAGAUCAACCUUUGUCAAAACACCAAAUGUUCUCUCCCCUAAUACAAAUCGAACACAUUUCAUCUAGUCAAUAGAGCCGAACCAAAAGGUAUUAAUAAUCAUCAGAAUGUGCAAAUGAAAUAUGUAAUUUGCUAUAAAGGCCAAAACUGUCAAGUAUUGCCUAAAGAUUGAUAUUGGAUAGUAUUGAGUUUUAUAAAUAGAUUUAAUUUUAUUUAGUUUGUUAGCUCAAGGCAGGAAAAGUAGUUACAGUUUAAUCAAUGUUUUGACCUGUAUAUAAACAAUCUGCUUGUUCAGUUAGAAGGUAAGAACUAAGAACUUUGUUUUACAAUUCUUUCCAACGUAAUCAAUACAAACAGAUAUUCUAUGUCUAUAUCUUUUUGUUCACAAUUCAAGUUGAUGGAUCCAGAUUGAGCAGUGAUUUGAGUUUCUUGAGGUUCUUCAUGGUAUCACAGCAUCAAGGUGAAGACUCAAUCAUGAUACAUUAGUUUUUCGGCAUAGAUCUUCGUAUAUUUCAUUGUUUUUUGUGAAGAACUCUAGUUCUAGAUUUGUUCUUCACCGCGAUAGCGAUUUCCUUGAUACAUAGUUGGUACUGUAUUUUUUUCUUGAUCGAACAAUUUUUUCAUCGUUUUGUUUAUGUUUCUCGAUUGAUUCCUAUUUUUGCAAAUUACAGACCUAAGUUUCUCGAAAUCAUCAAUUGAAACCCUAAUUUCUGGUAAGAUACUCAUGACUGGCCCUCAAAACACAUAAGAUUCUUAUAACCAAGCCAACAUCUGAUUUAUCUAAGUAUGGAACCUAUAUCAAUAAUACUCCCUUCAUCCCGAACAUUUCUUUACACUUUCCUUUUUGAGAUGUCCCAUCCAAUUCUUUACAUUUAAAAACUUGGCAAAUAUAGUGAACUUUUACAAUAUAAAAAUCAACUACUCUCACUACUUUUCUCCACUAUACUUACUUUAUACAUAAAAUAUCAACCGGUCCCAUCACUUUUCUUACUUUACUUAUUUUCUUAACCUCCGUGCCCAACCCAAAUGUAAACAUUUGGGUGGGACGGAGGGAGUACCAAUCAUCUAAGGGAUACUAAAUAACAACAGCAGGUAAUAUCUUUUACAUCUGAUUCCCCAGUCAUGUGGUCCAAAGCAAUCUCCAAGGGAGCGGUUUGAAAGAUUUAAACAAGUGAUGAAGAAGGAUAAAUACAAACAGGCUCAAACAUAUGAUAUUUUAUUCUUCAAUAUUCACACGAUAAUAAGAUAACUAUCCUCAUCUAUGUUGAUGACACUAAUAACAUGUGAUGAUUCUGUACAGCAAGAAAAACUUAAAGGUGUAUUUUCCCAAGAGUUAAAAGUAAAAUAUCUCAGUCCAAUGAAGUAUUCUUAGGAAUGGUGGUUGCAAGAAGAAAACAAGGUAUUGUGCUGUUUCAGAGGAAAUAUAUUCUGGAUAUUCUAAAGAAACCAGAAUGAGCGGUUAUAAACCUGUGGCAACACCAGUCAAACCAAAAGGCAAGUUCAAAAAAGUCACAAAAGAAAAACCAGUUGAUAAAGGAAUGUAUUAACGACUAGUGGGCAAACUGAUCUACCUAUACGAGGCAUGAGAUUACAUACGCUGUGAGUCUUAGUACUCAGUAUAUGCAUAAUCCUAUAGAGGAAAACUUGGAACCGUGUACAAAAUUUUGCGCUAUCUAAAGAAAACACCAGGGGCUGGAUUGUUGUUUAGAAAGAAUGAAAAACAUAUUGUUGAAGGCUUCACAGAUGUGGACUUGCACCUGGGGAGGAUCAUUUGAAAAUAGAAGAUCAACAACUGGGUAUUACUCUAAAGUUUUGGCAACCGGGUCAAUUGGAGGAGUAAGAAACAAUCGGUAGUAGUUCGAAUUACUGAAUUGGUGCUGAAGCUGAACUUAGAGCUCUUGCUCGAGGAGUUUGUGAUUUAAUCUGGAUUAAGCACAAACUUAAGAAAUUAAAGAUUCAUAAAGUAACCCACUAUAAUUGUUCUGCACCGACAAAUUAACAAUCAACAUAGCAGAAAAUCCGGUUCACAUGACAGAACCAAGCAUAUAAAAAUAGACAGACACUUCAUCAAAGAAAAAGUUCGAAGAAAAGGAAUUAUGUGUUGUGUACAUUCCCAGCAAGCAACAACAGGCUGAUAUCAUGACUAAAGUCUAUCCACAGAAAGUUUUAAUAAGUUGGUUUGAAAGACAUGUGAAAUCUCUAUGCACCAGCUUGAGGGGGAUAUUAGCUGCUGUUUUUAUUCAGAAUCAGGUUGUAUAAUUGAUAUAGUUUCCAUUAUAAAUUAGAUGCUGGCUUGGUUAUUUAAAAUCAUCAGGUGUUAAUACUAUAUAUUUAGCACUUAAUAACAUAUAUUCUCUUGUCUAUGCAUGGCCUAUAUAAAAGCUUCAUUUUCAUAAAUAUUUGGCUGGAAGGACUAGAUUUAAAGAUUUCCAUCCCUACAAUCAAUUUUUAGAGUGAUAAUACUCCUGAGCAUCAGGUUUCUCAGGAACGCAAAAAAUAUUUAAAGAUUGAUUGUCACUUAAUUCACGACUAUGUUACUUCAGUUCUGGGUUUCUCCGAAUCUUUCACAUUCAUACAUCCUUGCAACUUGCUGAUGUAUUGACUAAACCUUUAUCUGUUGCUCAACACAAUGAGUUGUGCCUUAAGCUUGGCCUUCAGUUUGAUCCUUCUUGACAUCCAGCUUGAGGGGGGUAUUGCGUACUGUAAAUGGCUUUUAUUUUAUUUAGUUUGUUAGCUUUAGGCGGGAAAGUUAAUUUAUUCAAUGUUUUGAUUUGUAUAUAAACGAUUUGUGUUAGAAGGUAAGAACUUCAUUUAACAAUUUUUCUCAACAUAAUCAAUGAACACAAAUAUUUUGUAUCUAUCUUCUUGUUUACAGUUCGAGUUAAUGGGAUUCAGAUUGAGCAGAGUUUUCAAUAUCUUCAAAUAGGCGUCCAGCUCACCUUGACUAUAAUAGGAUAGGCCAUCUGUUAUGGAUUUUAGGUGAUCAUGGGCGUCACUGGACACCUAGGGAAUAGGGAUCCAUUAGGUGUCAGCUAUAUAUUGAUAACUUUCCCCAACUAUUAUAUUGUGUUGCUUAUUUUAGUUGCAAUGUACCUUUCAGCUAUAUAUUGACUAUAAUUGUUGCUUAUUUGGUGUUAUUUUUCUGGCUACGUUAUUGAAGACAUAGAUACUUUACCUUUGGGAUCUACUUCACGAGACAUUUUGAUUGCAUCAGAGGUAGCAAGAUCUUGGUUAGCAGGAGAAACUGCUAGAAUGAUACAGUUGGGCUGCAUAAUUGAAAAUGUUGAACUGUUAAUAUUUUACACGGGAAUAAAUACCCGUGAUGCCACAAACGCACUAAUUAAAGAACAAAUGCGCACUAUAGCAAGCUUAAAAUAAGUUUGACAUUGCAGCCCUGGAUUCUUACACACAGACACAUGUAUGGAGGGAAGAAGAUCAUAAUAUCCCAUAAUAGACAGUCAUCUUGAAGGUUCUGGCUGUGUCCACCGACUGCUAAACCAUAGUAAUUGAGGUGCAUAUUUUAUGAUACAAGAAUAGAAAAUAACUCAUGAUUCGAAUGGUAACUUACCUUCUCAAUAUAUGAGCGAACCAUGUUCUCAAUUUCCUGCACUAUACUCUCAGCUUGGCCAUCUACAGGGACAAAUUAGUAUAAUCAAAAUGAAUCAGCAUCAAGAAGUGGAAAGAAUAAUAUAAGUGGGCAAGGAGAUAACAUUAAGUAUAUAUGGAUCAGUCAAAACAAGAAUAUUUUUUAAAUAUAAAACAAGAGCUACGAGAUACUAAAACUCACCAAUAGCUACCUUUGUAAGCCCGGGAAGGUCGAUCAAUGUCAAGUUUACAACUGUCAUUCCCACAACACACAGGUAAGAUAUAUUGCAGUUACUACUUUUACAUGCAAUUGACAUGUACAGAGAUGUAUAAGAUACUGGCAUAUACUAAUCCAGAAAAUAUUCAAAUAAAAGAUGUUCAAAGGUAAACCAUCUCUUCUUUCAUUUAUAACUAUGGAUGCCAUCACCAUCAUAUUUAUGGCAGGAUUCAUCUAAUAAGACACUGCACUGAACAGAUAAAAUGCAUUGUUCUAAAAACUUGUAUUACACUGGCAGAGUAACAUCUAAACUUCAAACCUAGCAACCUACUAAGUGCUAACAUAAGUUAAUCACGAACAUCCAAGGAACGUCACUCGUACAAAUUAUUAGAGCUUGAAAAAUCCAAAAAUACUAGGUUAGAGAUGCUAUUUACCAUUGGGCGAAUAGAUGCUGAGAUAUAUCGGUACAGUAGAUAUAGCUUUAGAUCUUCCAGUCUCUCGAUCAGUCUCGUCAGAAAUCUCCUUCCUAACAGCAGCUGCACAAGAUACAACAGAAUCAGCAACUGAGCAAGGACAAAGAUACAUCAUAUUUGUAAGGAACAGUAUGUAUAUAUAAUAUAAGUUAUGUGGCUAUGUGCUACUAAUCAUUCCGUAACAUAUAUACCAAAAUCGGUGUAUUUCCUUUUGGGCUGGUGUGCAAAUUCCGCAUAUUCUCUUCCUUCUUCAAGUCUGUGCAGCUGUAGGACAAGAGGACGCCGGGUGACAAUUCCUGCAUUCAAACAGUACAAGAUUCUAGUUGAUAGGUUGCACAUAUUGUUCAACUGAGUGUUUAUAUACAAAUUAAGUAUGUAAUUAGUUUUUACAAAUUAAGUUAAUGAAGCUGGUUACCAGAUCCACGAGGAAGAAAGUCCUUUCCAACAACACUCUCCAGAACAGAAGACUUUCCAGAACUCUAAAAGCAUUAAAAGAGGUGUAUCAAUUCAAACACCUAUCAAAGCACUCGGAAAAUCACAAUUUUCCAUUAACACGGCAAUUGGAGUCACAUUUUUGCGACAUCUCCACUCCUAUUAGCUACGGAUCCUAAAUCACACUCAAACCGGCUUCUCGAAUCUAAUUAGAUCUCCAUAUGUUUUUCUCGCAAUUACUACAUUUUCACAGUUGGCACAUUUCAAAAUUCCUAGUGACUUGCCUGAUUCAAAUUUCUCGACUAGGAACCGAAUUGAAAACACGCAGACAACUCAUUAUUUCACUCAGGCGAUACAAAUAAAACUCGAAAAGGUGAAUGACACUAAUCCAAUCAAAUCAGCAUUGAUUUAAUAACUAAACUAACUGAAAUUACCGAAAAAUAAAAGCAAUAAGCGAGUUAAGAAAGUAAAAGAAAGAGUGUAAACCUGGCAACCGACGACGGCGAUUGAGGGUACCGCGUCCCAGAGAGUANGUCCCAGAGAGUAGGCAACGCGCUUUCUUCGCCGUAAUCGCCGAGAGCAGUACAAGCUCUUUGUAAUCUGUUCACUAGAGAUAUCAGAUUCUCCAUGUCGAUUGGUGGGAUCUGUACGGAGAAGAAUUUGACUCUGUUUGGACUGUAAUUAAUACGCCGCCACCGUUUUUGCAGUUCAAUCUGGGGGUCCGUUUCAAUUCGGAGGCCCGAUUCUGUAGCUUUUUACUGUACUACUUUGCUUUGCUUCGCUUGCUAUAAUUUCAAAUUCAAAUCCCAGUGCAGCUGCCCAACUUUUUCGUUUCAAAUUUUUGUCCCUGUUUCAAAUUUUUGUCCCUACCUCUUCGGGGUCUUCAUCCCAAAUAACCGAAAUUGGGGUGAUAAUGGCCCAAAUAUCAAAAAACUCGAUAAAUGGCUGGUAUAGCGUUUUUGUUUUAUUAACGAAAACGCUACAUCAUGUAGCGUUUUUUUUUUAAACUAAAAACGCUACUGCAAGUAGCGUCUAAACUUUAUCCUUUUAUUUAACACAAAAAAGGCUCCUCCCAAUGACGUUUUGGAGUAUUGGCAAGUUGGUCAGGGUGGAUACUGAAAACACAAGACGUUACUUUAAAUAACGUUUAGACCAAUUUUGCUUUUUUUUCUAAUUCUAUUUCUUAAAGUUGAGAAUGAACAUUAUUUUUUGUUUUAUUGAUCUAUUUUUUUUCUAGUUUAUAAAAUAAAAAAUGCUAUACAAAAAUAUUUUUAAUUUUCAAAUAUAAAUUAAUCAUUCUACAACCCAAAUCAAAACUCUAAAGGUUAACGAUGUUAAAGUAAUUUAUUCCGCCGGUUUCUCGGCUUUAGGGCCUUCGGCCCUGCAGCCUCGCAUUAAUUACGAUUUAGGCUCAAGGGAGUAGGGCCUACCGGCCCUACACCCUCAAUCCUAAACCCUAACCGCCGGCCAAUUUAAUAUACAGUACGAAUUAAUCAUUCUGCAACUCAAACCUAAACCCUAAAUGUUAACGAUUGUAAAUUAAUUUAUUCCGUCAGUUUCUCGGCUUUAGGGCCUUCGGCCCUGCAGCCUCGCAUUAAUUACGGUUUAGGCUCGAGGGAGUAGGGCCUACCGGCCCCUACACCCUCAAUCCUAAACCCUAACCGUCGGCCAAUUUAAUAUACAGUACGAAUUAAUCAUUCUACAACCCAAACCUAAACCAUAAAUGUUAACGAUUGUAAAUUAAUUUAUUCCAUCGGUUUCUUAGCUUUAGGGCCUUCGGCCCUGCAGCCUCGCAUUAAUUAGGGUUUAGGCUCAAGGGAGUAGGGCCUACCGGCCCUACACCCUCAGUCCUAAACCCUAACCGUCGGCCAAUUUAAUAUACAGUACGAAUUAAUCAUUCGGCAACCCAAACCUAAACCCUAAAUUUUAAGGAUUGUAAAUUAAUUUAUUCCGCAGCUUUCUCGGCUUUAGAGCCUUCGGCCCUGCAGCCUCGCAUUAAUUAGGGUUUAGGCUCGAGGGAGUAGGGCCUACCGGCCCUACACCCUCAAUCCUAAACCCUACCAUUGGCCAAAAUACAGUACGAAUUAAUUAUUUUACAACCCAAACCUAAACCCUAAAUGUUAAUGAUUGUAAAUUUAUUUAUUCAACCGGUUCCUCAGUUUGCUCCUUCUCUCGAUAGGUUUUUCACUCACCGGUUAUAAACAAAAACACACGUGAAUAUAUAAGCAAGUGGUCACUAUGUGCUAAUAAAGUUGAUGGAUGAUUCAAGAAACAAAAGCUUGCAUACAACAUACAUAUUAUACUCAACUUCUAGAUACUCUGGCCACUGCCCGGUGCCUAGACAUAUAACUAUGCUAAGACGCUGCUUCGAGUAGCGUUUUCCUUUUUAAUAAUCUAAAACACGCUACACGAAGUAGCGUUCCCUACCUAAUAUUAAACGCUACUUCACCCACGUCUUUAACGGUCAUUUAGGGCCAAUUUUUUGAAAAACGUUAUUUGGGGCAUUACUUCUUUUAUUUCUGAUAAUCAGGGCCAUUUUUCACCUCUUGGUCUUGGGGGUUCCGGUUGUUGGAAUAAUCUUAAAUUUAUUUAUUAUUAAUUAUUUGUUUUGUUUAAUUAUUUAUUUGUAUAAAGUUUGUUUACUCUAGUAUGGUCGUGAGUACUGUUACGUGCUUAGAAAAUAGCUGCUGAUCAGGUCAUGAAGUGAUGGAGUAGAAGUAGGAGUCCAUUAGAGUAAUAAUAGGAGAAAUAUCAGUAACCUCCUAGUAGUGCACUUAGAGUAGUAUUUUAUUCAUUUCUAGUUAACAGGAGAGACAAUACAAUGUAGUCCUUGAGAUCAGUUCAUGCUUAUCAAUAUAUUUCUUCCAUCUUAUUUAUCUUAUAUUUAUUAUUCUAGUGCAUUAUUAUUUUCAAGAUGGUAUAGCAACCUGGGACCUGUGGGUCCUCGUGGUGGCUGUGCUGCAAGAAAAAAAACUACUACAGGCAGUGACAUGAAGGUGGCAACGCUGCAUGUGUAGUAUGGGAUGCAUGUGUAGUAUGGGGCUGUCGAGAAAAAUGAGACCAUGCGGGAGAAGUUUGUUGAAGGAAGAAAACGAGUUAGAGUGGUAGAAGGCCAUGAAGAACGAGAUGGAACAAUUUGUGGAGGCAGGGACACGGAAGGUGUUUGAUGGAAUGUCUGAGAAAGAUAUUGUUGCUUGGAAUGCAAUGAUUUCUGGAUUCAAAUUAUGAGUGAUUAUGUGCACCUGGAGAGAAGUGCUCCAAUGAAUUUGGUGUUGAUGAGAAGUGCAUUAACAAAUUGAUGUUGAUGAGAAGUGAAUCAACAAAUUGAAGGUGGUGAGAAGUGCAUCACAGAUGAAGAGAAGUGCUUCAUAUAUUAUGUUCAUAUAUAGGUUUAAGAUUGUGGGGGUGAUUGUUGGAAUAAUCUUAAACAUAGUUAUUAUUUAUUUGUUUUAUUUAGUAAAAUAAAGUCCAUGUUUAUGUUUUUAAACAACUGAUGACUAAGUCACUGGGUAGUUCAGUAUUGGUAGGGAACAUUGAAGUAGUGGAAAAUUAGUAGGAUAGAAGUUGUUGGUUUUUAGGAACAACAUAGAUGCAGUAUUUUGAAUUCCUAUAUGUACGUCCCAUGCAAGUUUAUUGUAGGGAACUUUUCCCUGCACUUUGUUUUCUCAGUCUUAUAUUAUACAUAUAUUUAUUUCCAACACUUGGUAUCAGAGCGAGGUUCUUUUUGGCAUAAUAAUAUGAUUUUCAAGAAGCAAUUCCAGCUAGAAGAAAAAACCUUCGACAUUUUCUCGAUCAAGAAACGAAGCCAGCCGAUCCAUCCCAAAAAUUUUCACAGAUCUGGUUACUUCCCCUUUCUCACAAACCAACAGCCCCCUCUUUUCCUUUUCCUUUGUAUUCAAACAGACCACACACUUUUUUUGUUAUUGUAAGCCAGAUCUCUCUUCUCGCUCUUAAACAAUCUUCUCGCUCUCCAACAAAACGCGAAAUUCAGUUUUGAUUCGAGAUUCAAUUCGUCGGAAUUUGGAGAGUACGGUGACUAGACGAUGUUUCUAUAUGAUUAUUGAUGUUAUAACAUGUUUUUCUUUAGCCUUUUAUUAUUUGAUGAAUGUUUGUUGUGUGCAUUUACGCCACAAUUGAGGUAUGAUAUCUUAAACUUUUGAAGAUUUACCAAUUAUAUUGAUUUUGCUGGGUUAUGUUUUACAAGUGCUAGAUGUAGACGUGAAUAUUGAUAGUAUUAAACUCAUGUAUUUUCUGCUACUUGUUAUUUUUUUCAAUCAUUCUGUUAUGAGAUGUUCAAGACGAGCAUUGUAGUUGUUUUGAUUAUUGUUAUAGUCAAAUUUGGAGUCUAUAUCGUACUGUUUCUUGGUUAAAAUUUUAAGUUUCUUGUGCACUGUUUACACCUUAAGAUCAUUGUUUGAUUUGAUUAAUUUAUGAUUGGUAUUGUAAUCACUUGUUUGUUUCUUUUUUAUCAGAUUUGUCCAAUAAAAUGAAUGAAUGUUUUUAGUCAAAUGUUAGAUUCAUUGGGAUAGCUCGUUCGUGUUUCUUAAUUCUAACUUGAAUUAUUUUUAUUUAUUUGUAGUUAAUCAGAAGUUUCAAAUUCUUAAGUUCUGUUUUAGAGAUUAAAUCGUCUUUGUAAUAUAUGAAUAAUUUAUUUAUUCAAUUUUAAUUGCUUCAAUUAAAUUCACUAAUUUUGUUUGACCGUCUUUGUAAUAUAUGAAUAUUUAUUUAUUCAUUUUUAAUUGCUACAUUUAAAUUCAUUAAUUUUGUUUGACCGUAAUAAAUUGAUAUUAUGGUGAGAUAUUACAUGAAGUAGUGAUUGAAUCCUUUAAAUUGAAUUGAUUGAUGUCUAAAUGAUUUAAAUGUUAAUUGUGCCUUCAUUGAGGCGAAUUGUACCAUUCAUGGGUGGCCAUAAAUGAUGGCAUAUAUUUUGGCUUGUAAGAAGCAAUCAAUUUUUUUUAAUUAUUUUAAUGUCUAACCAAAGAUCCUUCUUUGGUUAGACUUUAUUUUAUUUUUCAACUUCAGAAAUAUAGACACAUACUUCUAAAAAUACUUUAUUAUUAGAUAUAUUAUCCUUUAUAAUUUUUUAUUUUUUAUUUAUAUAAUUUUGUAUAUGAACUUAUGUUCUUCUUUUUUCGUGUAUUUUUUGCAGGAUCCCUAGAAGGUGUUAAAGGGGUAUUUUCCUAUCAAACAUUAAAGUAUUAUUAUCCAAACGUCCGGAGAUAUCUUUGCAUGUCUUUCGGUUAGAUGAUAAUCUUUUUUAAAUGAAUGAAAUCCUUUGUAGCGGCUUAUUGUAUCUCGAGAUACAACUCAUCUACGAGUAUGUAGACCCUAACAACAAAAAAAAAAAAAAAAAGCAAUUCCAGCUGAGAAGGUGGUUACAGCAGAAGGGUUGCCGAGAAAGAUGUGAUGCAGUGUGGGCAAGUGGUAGGUAUCAUCAUGUGCAGUAUGGGAUGCAUAUGGGGCUACUAUUCUAUUUUGUUUGCACUGCCCAGAAGAAGUUAAAGUUAGAGAAAGAAGCGGAAGCUUUGGCUGUUCUAGACGAUGGGGAGAGUUGAUCCAAAGUGUUUUGGUGUUUAUGAGAAGUGCAUCAACAAUUUGGUGUUGAUGAGAAUUGCAUCAACAAAUAUAAUUGGUGUUGAUGAGAAGUGCAUCAACAAAUUGAUGGUGGUGAGAAGUGCAUCACAGAUGAAGAAAAGUGCUUCAUACAUUUUAGAUUAAAGGGGAGAUUAGCUCGCUGAAAUUCUGUCAUCAGUGAAGUUUGAAAGAAUGAGGGCACCAGUGGGAAUCAAAUACUUGCAGAAAUAAAUUUAAGAUUAUGGGUGUGAUUGUUGGAAUAAUCUUAAAUUUAUUUAUUAUUAAUUAUUUGUUUUGUUUAGUUAUUUAUUUGUAUAAAGUUUGUUUACUCCAGUAUGGUCGUGAGUAUUGUUACAUGCCUAGAAAAUAGCUGCUGAUCAGGUCAUGAAGUGAUGGAGUAGAAGUAUGAGUCCAGUAGAGUGAUAAUAGGAGAAAUAUCAGUAACCUCCUAGUAGUGCACUUAGAGUAGUAUUUUAUUCAUUUCCAGUUAACAGGGGAGACAAUACAAGUAGUCCUUGAGAUCAGUUCAUGCUUAUCAAUAUAUCUCUUCCAUCUUAUUUAUCUUAUAUUUAUUAUUCUAGUGCAUUAUUAUUUUCAACACUCGUGGGUCGGUUUGGGCGGGUUGCUAGCAAAUUAGUAACCCAACCCAAUUAGAUCGGUUUUAUAAAAUUUGAACUCAUCGUAAACCUUAUUAAAGUCGGAUUGGGUUGGUUCGGCUUGGUCAGGUUGAUCGGUUUAAUUAUAAAAUAGAAUUUAGUAUGACAUAUAUUUGUAUUUGUUGGUCUGCGAUAAAAAAAUUUAGAAGUCGAAGAAUCAAAAUCACGUGCAACUUAAUCUAGUAUACAAUUAUACAAUUGAUCAUCACAUAUGCACAUCAUAAUACACUACAAUCUAAAAAACUAAAUUAUGUUACAUAUAAAUAGAACAUCAUUAUAUUAAUUAUAAUUCAUAAUUUGAGUACUAACAUAUUAAUAUCAAGAAAAUCUUAACUUCUAAGUCAAUUAGUAAACUAGUAGUAUGGCUCAUUAGUGCAUAAUAUAUGUCGGGUUGGAAUGAGUUAAAAAUUAUCAAAACCCUAACCCAACCCAUUUAAUUCGGUUUUUUUAAUGUUUAACCCAUUCAAAGUUCGGUUUAAUAAUAUCGGGUUGGGUUGGCUAAAAAUAGGGGCGGGUUGGGUCGGUUUAAUCUGUUUUGUCAAAUUAUGGGCACCCCUACAAUUUCUUUUGUUUUCUUCAAAGAAUUUCUCAAUAAUCCCGCCUGUUUUUCACUUUUUUACCCCAUUUUUCUAUUUUGAUUUAGUAAUCUCUCUGUUUUUCACUUUUUAAAAGGGUUUUGUUUCUGAUUUAGAUUUCCAACGGAUAAUAUAGCUAAUUGAUAAAUGUACUUUGUAAAACUUGAAAUUAAGUCAUAUCGUUAAAAAAAUUAUAAUUAACUAAUUAAGUAUUUAAAAACUUUUAUAUCAUUAAUUUCUGUAAACUCUGGUAAAACAUUAACAUAAAUAAACAGCAUUUCAAAAACAUCACUAAAACAAGAACAAUAAUUUCAAAAAUAUCAUCUCAUACAUAAUUAGCACUAAACCAUACAAUUACAAUAAUAAAGAGAAUUAUCAACCCUCUGUAGUUACAACAACAAAAGAACUAGAAAAUAUUUUCAAAUUUACGGUCAAAAAACUGCUAGCAAAUUACACAAUAAUAAGGAUCUAUGGCUACUGUUUCUUUCAUUCUCUCAAAAAUCAGGGUUUGAGGAGUCGCCUUUCGUCCUUUGUCUUUGUCCAUUUUCAAGAUAGUCCGAGAGGCUUCCACUGGUUUUUUCCACUGGAAAGCCCCAUCCUCUUUAUUUCCUUUCAUCUUCGUUGAUUUUCUUUCAAUAAAACACAUUUUUUUGGGUAUAUGUGUGUCUCUUCUUUUGGAGUGUGUUUGUUUGUCUCUCCUUUUGGAGUGUUUGGUUAUGUUUUUGUCUAGUUAUGUUUGGAUCUAUUCGAUGUUGGAGUCGUUGAGAAUGAUUCUAUUGAUGAUUUUGGAGAUCUGAAAUGCCCGCGUCAAAUAUCAGUCGGUGGUAAUUAUGGCAAGAACUCACCUUUCAUAUUCAAAGAUUGUUCAUCUGUUAGGAGUUUACACUUUCGACAUGUCUAUAGCUGGUAUCCGCAUGUAGAUAUCUAGGGUGCCGCUCCUUCGAUCUCAAUUUAUGAGAUUAGGGUUUCUAAACGCUGGUCUAAUAAUGGCUUUUACAUUAUAAGGUCAAUUGUGAUGUUGUUGCCUUCUGCGAUGUUGGUACAAUUUGGAUCGCUUGGAAUAUCUUUUAUUUCAUUUUUAACUUCAAGAAUUCUAAAUUCUAUGUGUUAAACAAUCAGGUAACAAAUCAGCUAAUUGUUUUUAGUAUGUUAUUUGUUUUCCAACCUGGUUGUUCAGCAGUAGGGGUUUGUCUCCACUAUAUCAUUCUGAUUAAUGAAAGUGCUUUUAUUUAUGGCAAAAAAAAAAAUUAGAUGUAAGCAUAGUCAUAUUUGUCUUGAACUUUGAAUAGAGGUGAUUGCGGUGCGGUUUUUCUCUAAAACCGCAAACCAAACCGCUUAUAUGGUUUGGUUGAAAUUUUAAACCGCAACCACACCGCGCUAACAAAAAACCGCCUAGACCCACACCACAAAAAUGCGGUGUAGUGCGGUGUGGCUUCUAAAUUGUGUAUGCUAAAUAAUAAAUAUUUUUAGUUGAAAUAGAGAAUAAAAUUUAAAUAUACAAUAACUAAAACUUUUUUUGCAAUGAAGUUUUAUAAUAUUUAUCGUUUCAGAGCUACUACAACUACUAAAAUUAUAUAAAUAAAAGUGUAAAUAUAAUAAUAAUGAUGAUGAUGAUGAUGUUGAGUAAUAAGAGUCAUAUUAUAAUAAUAUAAUCGUUUCAUAAAAAUUUGGCACAAUAGUCAUGCGAGAUUUUAUAAACUAAUAAUUAACUAUUAUUUAAAGAGAUUUAAGUAAUAUAUACAUAACAUAAUUAUAAAUAAUAUAAAUAUGUAUAUUACAUAAUUUUAUUUGACAAUUACUAGUAUAUAUAUACAUACAUAUAUAUAUAUAUAUAUAUAUAUAUAUAUUAUAACAUUGUGGUGCGAUACGGUUUGAACCGCGCUAGUAAUAUGUCAAACCACAACCCGCACCAUGCAUUUAGUGAAAAAAUCAAAUCGCAACCACACCACGGAAAUUAAAAACCGCGUUUUGUUGUGCGGUGCAGGCGGUUUAUGCGGUUUAAGCAAUUUUUUUAUCAUCCUUGACUUUAAAUCUCCUCACUGGAAGCUUUGGCCAUCCACUAUUACUGGUCGGAAACUCGUAUGAUUGGACUUUUGAGGGAGAAUCCCAUUUUUUCUAUGUGUUGCUUCAACAUUUGGUGUAGGCAUCUGCAUUUUAAUGGAAUAAACAAUUAAUGUACUAGUUUGUGCAUGAAUUAAAGUAAAUUAAAGGAAUAAACUACUUACAAAAACCAUUCUUCUAGUGUUGUACGUGGCGGUGCAUUCAUCAUAUUUUCAGCCUCCAAAAUGUCAUCCAUUAAUUGAGCUUCACUUGUCUCCAUUUCUUUCCCAACCCUCUCCAUUUGUGCAUUUCUUUUAACUUUUUGUUCACUCAUCAGUUUCUCUUUUCGCAUGCUUUUUUUUUACUAUUUUCUCAACAUAAUCAACAGGCAUGUUUGGACAUUUUCAUCUAGUAUGCCCCGUUAAUCAGCAAAUUAUACAGUGUAUUACCCUCCCCAUCCUAGAUAAUGAACUUUUUUGUCCCUGCUUCAUUCUUCCUCUAACCCCCCCCCCCCC
RNAcentral lists this long non-coding RNA (37496 nucleotides) under Daucus carota (carrot). RNAcentral describes it as "long non-coding RNA (DCAR_LNC001121)". Lineage: Eukaryota; Viridiplantae; Streptophyta; Magnoliopsida; Apiales; Apiaceae. The record is from RNAcentral.